RNAcentral lists this unclassified non-coding RNA (1917 nucleotides) under Megachile rotundata (alfalfa leafcutting bee). Its description in RNAcentral is "tubulin alpha chain-like, transcript variant X5". Lineage: Eukaryota; Metazoa; Arthropoda; Insecta; Hymenoptera; Megachilidae. The record is from RNAcentral.
AGAUAAGUAAAAUAAAUAGUAGAAAUUACACAAUUAUUACAAGUACAUUCGUACAGCCGCGGUCAAAUAAAACGAAUUUCAACUUUUUUCUUUUCUCGAAAUUAUGCAGUUUCGUUGUCCAGACAACUGAAGUAAAUUAUCACUUUUUCUCCGAGGUAGCGGAUGGCCGACUUACAAAAUUUUUCGUAAUUAAUCAAUAUCCUUUUUAAAUCCAUUUUCGACCCCACGAUUCAAGAAAAUCCGAAAUAAUAUACCGAGCAACAUAUUAUCAAAAAAUCGUCAAAAUGCGCGAGUGUAUUUCUAUGCACGUGGGCCAAGCGGGCGUUCAAAUGGGCAAUGCGUGCUGGGAAUUGUAUUGCCUCGAACAUGGAAUCCAACCGGAUGGUACGAUGCCGUCAGACAAAGUGUCCGGUACAAACGAUUGUUUCAACACCUUUUUCAACGAAACCAGUUCCGGAAAGAUGGUACCGCGUGCUGUGAUGGUUGAUCUUGAACCUACUGUCGUUGAUGAAGUACGAAUAGGCUGCUACAAGAAACUGUAUCACCCGGAGCAAUUAAUCACUGGAAAGGAAGAUGCUGCGAACAAUUACGCCCGCGGCCAUUAUUCGAUCGGUAGAGAAGUGAUAGAUUCGGUGAUGGACAGAGUUCGAAGGCUGACAGAUCAAUGCACUGGACUUCAGGGAUUUUUUGUGUUCCAUUCGUUCGGAGGAGGAACCGGGUCGGGAUUCACUUCUUUGCUCAUGCAAAAGCUUUCGGACGAUUACGGGAAAAAGAGCAAAUUAGAAUUUGCAGUGUACCCGGCACCACAAGUAUCUACGGCGGUCGUGGAACCAUAUAACGCAAUCCUUACGACUCACACGACAAUAGGUCAUUCUGACUGUGCAUUUAUGGUGGAUAAUGAAGCAAUUUACGACAUAUGUAGACGGAAGCUUGGAAUUGAACGACCUUCGUACGCUAAUCUAAAUCGCCUAAUUAGUCAAGUGGUAUCUUCAAUUACCGCUUCCUUGAGAUUUGACGGCGCUUUGAACGUGGACUUGACCGAAUUUCAAACGAACUUAGUACCAUAUCCUAGAAUUCACUUUCCUCUUGCCACUUAUGCCCCGGUGGUGUCGGCAGACAAAGCUUUCCACGAGGGAAUGUCCGUCGCGGAAAUAACCUCCGAAUGUUUCGAGGCAUCGAAUCAAAUGGUCAAGUGCGAUCCACGCGAAGGUAAAUACAUGGCGUGUUGCUUGUUGUAUCGCGGAGACGUGGUACCGAAAGAUGUAAAUGCAGCAAUAGCCGCGAUGAAGAGGAAAAGUUGCAUACGCUUCGUUGAUUGGUGCCCGACUGGUUUUAAAGUCGGCAUCAAUUAUCAGCCACCUACCGUGGUUCCUGGUGGAGACCUUGCGAAGGUAUCCAUUUUAUUACAUAAGUUUCUUAUGUCUGAAUUUACGAUCGAAACUAACAAUGAAGUUUUAUGUCGACAGAAAUGUUUUAAGUCCUCAAUUGAUUUUCAUUCUUCAAAUGCAUAUCUUUGAAAUGCUUAUUUAUAAAAAAUUAUAUUCUUCAUAGUACCGAGGAUAUUUCAAGAUCAUCUUAUUUCUUUGAAAUAACUGCAUUGUCAUACUUUAUCUUUACUAUAAUGAUACUGUCAAGUGUAACCACGUAAUGAUAACCGAUAAACGAGCAAAGUAAUUACGUAUUGCGUGGAUUACACAAUCAAAGUUUUUGAGUACUUGUACCAUACAAGUCAGUAUUGCAUCACGGUUUGUAACACUGAAUAUCUAGACUCAUGUACACACUUGUAACUACAUUGAAAAAUGGGAAAGUACAGAACUUAAAAGAAGAAUGUUAAACGGGCUGUGUCGAUGCUAUCGAAUACUACGGCCAUCGAAGAAGCUUGGGCGAAAUUGAAUUACAAGUUUGAUCUCAUGUUUC